Molecule: ribosomal RNA, 250 nt
Filed under: uncultured bacterium
Lineage: Bacteria
Description: partial 16S ribosomal RNA
Rfam family: Bacterial small subunit ribosomal RNA
Source: RNAcentral
UACGAAGGGGACUAGCGUUGUUCGGAAUCACUGGGCGUAAAGCGCACGUAGGCGGAUUUGCCAGUCAGGGGUGAAAUCCCGGGGCUCAACCUCGGAACUGCCUUUGAUACAGCAAGUCUUGAGUUCGAGAGAGGUGGGUGGAAUUCCUAGUGUAGAGGUGAAAUUCGUAGAUAUUAGGAAGAACACCGGUGGCGAAGGCGGCCCACUGGCUCGAUACUGACGCUGAGGUGCGAAAGCGUGGGGAGCAAAC